RNAcentral lists this ribosomal RNA (429 nucleotides) under Pseudomonadota bacterium. RNAcentral describes it as "Proteobacteria bacterium partial 16S ribosomal RNA". It matches the Rfam family "Bacterial small subunit ribosomal RNA", at positions 355 to 776 of the family's 1533-position model. The record is from RNAcentral. Lineage: Bacteria; Pseudomonadati; Pseudomonadota.
UGGGGAAUAUUGGACAAUGGGCGAAAGCCUGAUCCAGCCAUGCCGCGUGUGUGAAGAAGGUCUUCGGAUUGUAAAGCACUUUAAGUUGGGAGGAAGGGCAGUAAGCGAAUACCUUGCUGUUUUGACGUUACCGACAGAAUAAGCACCGGCUAACUCUGUGCCAGCAGCCGCGGUAAUACAGAGGGUGCAAGCGUUAAUCGGAAUUACUGGGCGUAAAGCGCGCGUAGGUGGUUCGUUAAGUUGAAUGUGAAAGCCCCGGGGUCAACCUGGGAACUGCAUCCAAAACUGGCGAGCUAGAGUAGGGCAGAGGGUGGUGGAAUUUCCUGUGUAGCGGUGAAAUGCGUAGAUAUAGGAAGGAACACCAGUGGCGAAGGCGACCACCUGUGCUCAUACUGACACUGAGGUGCGAAAGCGUGGGGAGCAAACAGG